RNAcentral lists this transfer RNA (77 nucleotides) under Thermoprotei archaeon. Its description in RNAcentral is "tRNA-Ala". It matches the Rfam family "tRNA". From Rfam's summary of the family: Transfer RNA (tRNA) molecules are approximately 80 nucleotides in length. The record is from RNAcentral. RNAcentral also lists the same sequence under 1 other name. Lineage: Archaea; Thermoproteati; Thermoproteota; Thermoprotei.
GGGCCGGUAGCUCAGCUCGGAAGAGCGCCCGGUUGGCAUCCGGGAGGUCCCGGGUUCAAAUCCCGGCCGGUCCACCA